AGUGAACGCUGGCGGUAGGCCUAACACAUGCAAGUCGAACGGCAGCACAGUAAGAGCUUGCUCUUACGGGUGGCGAGUGGCGGACGGGUGAGGAAUACAUCGGAAUCUACUUUUUCGUGGGGGAUAACGUAGGGAAACUUACGCUAAUACCGCAUACGACCUACGGGUGAAAGUAGGGGAUCUUCGGACCUUGCGCGAUUGAAUGAGCCGAUGUCGGAUUAGCUAGUUGGCGGGGUAAAGGCCCACCAAGGCGACGAUCCGUAGCUGGUCUGAGAGGAUGAUCAGCCACACUGGAACUGAGACACGGUCCAGACUCCUACGGGAGGCAGCAGUGGGGAUUAUUGGACAAUGGGCGCAAGCCUGAUCCAGCCAUACCGCGUGGGUGAAGAAGGCCUUCGGGUUGUAAAGCCCUUUUGUUGGGAAAGAAAAGCAGCAGGUUAAUACCCCGCUGUUCUGACGGUACCCAAAGAAUAAGCACCGGCUAACUUCGUG
RNAcentral lists this ribosomal RNA (492 nucleotides) under uncultured bacterium. RNAcentral's name for it is "partial 16S ribosomal RNA". It matches the Rfam family "Bacterial small subunit ribosomal RNA", at positions 29 to 507 of the family's 1533-position model. The record is from RNAcentral.